AUUAGGAAUCCACAUGAGCCUAGAAAACCCAAGUGACUACAACUGACAGUGAAGACCAAGCCACAGUGGGCACCAGCACCACCACUCCACAACAGACCACCCCAUCCCAGAGGGCUGGGUGCGGGGACCAGGCACCCGUCCUGCAGAAGGACUCCAAGUUUGCAUCACGCGGCCCAACAUCUAGGACCACACCCACCAAGAGAAGACAACAUAGCAGAUGUUACUGAAGCCCACAGAUGACUCUUCUGCAUGAUCAAAAUGUGUGAUGCUUCAGUAAAUGCAGAAAUUCCUCCAGUUGCCAUAAGACACUGUAUAAAUGUAAUGCUGCCUUCAAGCUCACCGACAGCAAUCAUAAUUACUGGAGUCGUCGAAAAUUUCCAUGCGCCUCAAAGAAGUGACGUCACAGAGCCAGAGACAAUAACGACGUUAACAAGGCCAUCGUUUAAUAAAAUAAUGCAAUAAUGUAUAUUUUAUAAAAUUACGCUAUUUACUACAUUGUUUACUGUAACGUGUGUAAUCCAAUCCCUACUCGUUGUCAUACUAGUAGGCUAUAGAUUAUUUGCCUAUAUUACUAUAAACCUAUCGCAUCUCAGCGCACAAUGUGUUUUGUCAUGCUUUUUGAAAACAACUUCUGUCCAGGAUAUCACGUCUCUCUUGAUAAACAUAAUAAAAGAAGAGCGACCAGAGAAAACUACUUUUGUUGACUGUGAAUGUUGUUAUUUCCGGACAAUGCACUUCAAUGAGCGGCAGGUCUUCUGUUAUGCGGUUAACGUAAACACUGACUGUUUUCAUGCACUGUUUCCAGGUGACAGCUU
Long non-coding RNA from Astatotilapia calliptera (eastern happy), 815 nucleotides. The record is from Ensembl. NCBI's taxonomy places the organism in Eukaryota, Metazoa, Chordata, Actinopteri, Cichliformes, Cichlidae.